ACGGAAGGCAGCAGUGGGGAAUAUUGCACAAUGGGCGCAAGCCUGAUGCAGCCAUGCCGCGUGUAUGAAGAAGGCCUUCGGGUUGUAAAGUACUUUCAGUCGUGAGGAAGGUGUUAAGGUUAAUAACCUUAGCAAUUGACGUUAGCGACAGAAGAAGCACCGGCUAACUCCGUGCCAGCAGCCGCGGUAAUACGGAGGGUGCGAGCGUUAAUCGGAAUUACUGGGCGUAAAGGGCACGCAGGCGGUUAAUUAAGUUGGAUGUGAAAUCCCCGGGCUUAACCUGGGAAUGGCAUUCAAGACUGGUUAGCUAGAGUCUUGUAGAGGGGGUAGAAUUCCACGUGUAGCGGUGAAAUGCGUAGAGAUGUGGAGGAAUACCGGUGGCGAAGGCGGCCCCUGGACAAAGACUGACGCUCAUGUGCGAAAGCGUGGGGAGCAAAC
Molecule: ribosomal RNA, 438 nt
Filed under: uncultured bacterium
Lineage: Bacteria
Description: bacterial SSU rRNA
Rfam family: Bacterial small subunit ribosomal RNA
Source: RNAcentral